This 458-nucleotide ribosomal RNA is filed under the name uncultured bacterium. RNAcentral describes it as "partial 16S ribosomal RNA". It matches the Rfam family "Bacterial small subunit ribosomal RNA", at positions 338 to 795 of the family's 1533-position model. The record is from RNAcentral.
CCUACGGGCGGCAGCAGUGAGGAAUAUUGGUCAAUGGGCUUACGCCUGAACCAGCCAAGUCGCGUGAGGGAAGACUGCCCUAUGGGUUGUAAACCUCUUUUGUCGGGGAGCAAAAGCCGGACGUGUCCGGCUGUUAGAGUACCCGAAGAAAAAGCAUCGGCUAACUCCGUUCCAGCAGACGCGGUAAUACGGGGGAUGCGAGCGUUAUCCGGAUUUAUUGGGUUUAAAGGGUGCGCAGGCGGAUUUUUAAGUCAGCGGUCAAAUCGUGGGGCUCAACCCCAUCCAGCCGUUGAAACUGGGGAUCUAGAGUGGGCGAGAGGUAUGCGGAAUGCGUGGUGUAGCGGUGAAAUGCAUAGAUAUCACGCAGAACCCCGAUUGCGAAGGCAGCAUACCGGUGCACAACUGACGCUCAGGCACGAAAGCGUGGGUAUCGAACAGGAUUAGAUACCCUUGUAGUC